Molecule: long non-coding RNA, 2604 nt
Organism: Argiope bruennichi
Lineage: Eukaryota; Metazoa; Arthropoda; Arachnida; Araneae; Araneidae
Exons: 4
Source: RefSeq, a predicted model, not a curated record
GAACAAUUGCGCAACGUCAUUCCCCAUAAGAAGAGGGACUGCAUUUACAGCUAUUGGCAAAUAGUACGGAGAGCAGCUGUCCAGAUGGCCUGAAAGCAUUUUACUGUUUCACACAAAGUAAUAUCGGCUGGAUGACACUUAAUAGAUACCAGUUUGCAUGAUAAAGGUAUGCCACCAAACACCGUAUUUUCUCAGUUUCAUACACGUGCCAACUGUUUAUAUCACUGUUGCUGGAAGCGAGGCAGUAUUCGCUUAAGAUAUUGACAUGUUUUGACCAAAUGACCGUGGCUCAACAGGAAAUACAUGGAACUGCUCAACAGGAAAUACAGAGGAUGUCUGGAUGCCCAGGAAAGAACAGUACUGAAGUGAUUUCGAUAUUGACAUACUUUCACCGAAAUGAUCGCAGUACAAUGGAUGGCAUCCGGAAUUUUUAGCAAGCGCAUAUUGGAACUCGGAGCCUUUAAAAUGAAAUAUUGCAUGAAGAUCCAACAGAUGCAGUUUGUAAAAUUGUAAAUAUUAGACCAAACCUAAAAUGCACAUUUGGUACCAAAAUAUUGUCAAUGAUCUGCAUAGUUGAAAUGCGAGUACAUAUGGGGUUAACAUUACUUGAGGAUAUCAAUACAUCUCUAAAAUGUUUUAUUCUUCCAUUUUUAAGGUUUUGAAUAAUUUGUUUCAACCAAUGCAGUAAUUCAUUUCGAUCUUGGAAAAGGUUGAAGUGCAUGAAAUGUACAUCGUUCAAAGCCUGUUUGGCAUAUGAAUCAAUAUUUCUUAAGUUUUGGAAAUUGUUAAGCUUUUGGUUCAUUAUAUUUCCUUCAAAGUUGAUGUUUAUAUUCUACUCUUUUAGAAACAAGUAUUUUUUUUAAUAUUCUAGACAUAUCAAACAUUUUUAUGGAUAAAUUAAAAUUUGUAAGUGUGUUUGAUUUUUCUAAGUUAUCUAAAACCAAUUUCCAACAAGACCGAAAGAAGAAUUUUUCUCUCAAGAUUUAUAAAAUUGGCUUUUAAAUUUCAUUUGUAACCAUACACUUAUUAAAAGUUUGCAAGUAAAACUUUUUUUACUGCCCCAGCAAUAUAGCCAGGGAUCACAACCACUGUAAGAUUAUUGUAAUUACUUGAAAUAAAAAAAUACGUAACUACUUAAUUUGCAUUUGACAUUUAUCCAUCAUUGUCAACGGAGAAUGCAUCUUCAUGAUUGGAUGAUUUGUUAAGAUUAUUUUUCAUCGAUUUCUUUAUUAUGAUUCUAAAAAUUUAAUGUUUUUGUUAUUGUCAAUUGAUUAGCUGUUAUUCCUUCUCAUCAGCAUUAUUGUUUGCAGAUAGUUUUAAAUUUAUUGACAGAUUUUACAAAAUAUUCUUCGUUUUCUUUUUAAUGUCUGAAUGUCAAAGAUCGAGGAAGCAAUUUGAUUCAUUUUUCCUGAAUAGAAAUUUAAAAACAUGAUAUCAAAGAUCACCAUUUGAAAUUUAAUUUCAGCACUUUGAGAAAUUUUAUCACGUUUUUUGUAGAUAUAUUAAGCAAAUAUCUGUACAUUGCAUCCAUUUGCAAUUAUUUUUUAAAUCAAGAUUCUGUUCUUAUUAAAUUUAUUAAAAAUUGGUAAUAAUUAAUGAUUCAUAGAACUUCACUUUCUGACUAUGAAAUAAGUUACCAUAAAUUCAGUAUAUUGACUGUAAUGGAUAUUGCGCAUAAUUCUGAUUUAGCAACAAAUAUUUUUUUUCUCUAAGGAUCUUAACAUUAGCCUUUGAAAUAUUGUUUUAUGCUUUAUGUUAUCAGUAUCUCUAUUUUUUUUUUACUCAAAUUUUAAUCUGAAAGCAAAAUUUAUGAAAAUGAAAUUUGCUUUAAUAUGUAUUUGUAUGUUUGUCUAAUUUAAAAUAUAUCAAUCGCCGUCAAUGGCGGGGGAAACGCGUCUGUACCAUGUAUGAAACAAAUGGCAAAAGCGUUGUCCAUAUGUCUACUUUGUUCUCUAAAAGAUUAUUUGAAAUUUAAAUAUUUUCAAUAGAUAUUGCUCAAACUUAAGUUACGUGUUUGCGCACGUGAAACAGUGUUGUGCAUUGCAAAUAUGUUUUAUGCUCAUAUAUUGAAUUUGGAAAUAUUAAUUAAUGGAACUGUAAUUAUUCUUAAAUUAUGUGAUACGAUAGUGCUUUCUUCUCUUUUCAUUAAUUAUAAAAUGCACCGCAUUCAUUUUUCCUGAACAGAAAUUUAAAAACAUGGUAUCAAUGAUCAUUCAUUUGAAAUCUAAUUUCAAUAUUUUCAGAAAAAUUUUGGCAUAGUAUUUGUAGUUAUAUUAAAUAAGCAUCUGUUCAUUGCAUCGAUUUGCAGUUAGGUUUUAAGAUUUUAUUCUUGUUAAAUUUAUUUAAAUUAAUGAUUAAUUAAUUUAUUAAAAAUAAAAAAAGUUAGUAAUGCUUAGUAUUUCAAGUUCACCAUUAAUCUUUUAAUAAGUAAUAAUUUCUAAAUCUCGCCAUUUUGGCCUCCGAUUACACUUAAAUGUAUACAUCCGCCGAUAGAGGAUACUUUGAUUGACUCGGCCGGCCAGCCAAUCAAAAUGUCCUCAGAUUCUUCGAAGGCAUUUGAUCAUUGUGCCUGAUCCCCACAAUGAUCAGUAUGCCUUUGCAGAA